RNAcentral lists this ribosomal RNA (607 nucleotides) under uncultured Gemmatimonadota bacterium. Its description in RNAcentral is "bacterial SSU rRNA". It matches the Rfam family "Bacterial small subunit ribosomal RNA", at positions 93 to 701 of the family's 1533-position model. Lineage: Bacteria; Pseudomonadati; Gemmatimonadota. The record is from RNAcentral.
AACCGGCGAACGGGUGCGUAACACGUGAGCAACCUACCGAACUGUGGGGGAUAGCCGGCCUAACGGCCGAGUAAUACCGCAUACGCUCUCAGAGAGGCAUUUCUUUGAGAGGAAACCUACGGGACAGAUCGAGGGGCUCGCGGCCUAUCAGCUAGUUGGCGAGGUAACGGCUCACCAAGGCAACGACGGGUAGCUGGUCUGAGAGGAUGGCCAGCCACAUUGGGACUGAGAUACGGCCCAGACUCCUACGGGAGGCAGCAGUGGGGAAUCUUGCGCAAUGGCCUAACGGCUGACGCAGCGACGCCGCGUGUGGGAUGAAGCUCUUCGGAGUGUAAACCACUGUUGCCCGGGACGAACAGCUCGAUUAAUCGAGCCUGACGGUACCGGGUGAGGAAGCACCGGCUAACUCCGUGCCAGCAGCCGCGGUAAUACGGGGGGUGCGAGCGUUGUCCGGAAUCACUGGGCGUAAAGGGCGCGUAGGUGGUUUGAUAAGGGUGUGGUGAAAGUCCGGGGCUCAACCCCGGAUCUGCCGUGCCGACUGUCAAACUCGAGGACUGUAGAGGCAGACGGAAUUCCGGGUGUAGCGGUGGAAUGCGUAGAGAUCCGG